GGGUUUUUUAUUUUAUACUUCAAAUCUUGAAUUUAUUUUUUAUGUUUUUUAAAUGUUCAUUUUUUUGAAUGUUUGAUUUAAAAAAAUAUAAAAAAUAAAAUAGAUAUUGACAUGGAUUAAACAAAGAUAUAUAUUAUUCUAUGUUGCAUAAACAAAUUGGCAAAGUAG
Molecule: unclassified non-coding RNA, 168 nt
Filed under: [Borrelia] lusitaniae
Lineage: Bacteria; Pseudomonadati; Spirochaetota; Spirochaetia; Spirochaetales; Borreliaceae
Description: Borreliella lusitaniae partial 5S-23S ribosomal RNA intergenic spacer
Source: RNAcentral